Molecule: ribosomal RNA, 313 nt
Filed under: uncultured bacterium
Lineage: Bacteria
Description: bacterial SSU rRNA
Rfam family: Bacterial small subunit ribosomal RNA
Source: RNAcentral
GAUGAACGCUAGCGACAGGCUUAACACAUGCAAGUCGAGGGGCAGCGAGGGAGUGCUUGCACUUCUGUCGGCGACCGGCGCACGGGUGAGUAACACGUAUGCAACCUGCCCUUGUCAGGGGGAUAAGCGAGGGAAACCUCGUCUAAUACCGCAUAUAUGGUUUUGAGGCAUCUCUUAAUCAGGAAAGAAUUAUCGGACAAGGAUGGGCAUGCGGGACAUUAGGUAGUUGGUGGGGUAACGGCCUACCAAAGGCUGCGAUGCAUAGCCGACCUGAGAGGGUGAUCGGCCACACUGGGACUGAGAUACGGCCCAG